Molecule: transfer RNA, 85 nt
Filed under: Polymorphospora rubra
Lineage: Bacteria; Bacillati; Actinomycetota; Actinomycetes; Micromonosporales; Micromonosporaceae
Description: tRNA-Pro
Source: RNAcentral
GGGCACGGUUGGGCCGGUGGCGGGGCCGGCCUCCUCGGGGCGGGGGCGAGCCGCCGGGUCGGGUCCGGGCGCCGGGUCGGGCCCG